AUGUUGGUUGAAAAAGGGAAAAAGAAAAAUUUAAAAAAAAGACAGUUAAAAAAGAAAUUAACUUUAAAAGACUAAAGAAUCAUGGUAAAAAAGCCGUGAAUUCUAUGUGCAGUAGUCCCCUAGUGCUGGAGUUCCGCCGUUCUCAUUGAUCGGUAAACUUGGUCUUGGCUGGCUGUUCUGGCUGAUCUUCUGGGGAGGGGCCUGUUGCCGUGGUUCCCAAAUGUCUCUGCCGGAGGCGGACUUGCCCCGCCCUUACCCCUCCCGGCUAAGUAAUCUGCUCGGGUUUGCUCUCCGGGGCUUUUGUUCCCUGCGAGCUUUCCGUACAGCUUUGGAGGCGGAGAGUGAAAAUGGCGGCCUCCCAAUCUCCGCUCCAGAGGAGCCGAGAACUCGGGGCCCGCUCCUCAGUGAGCCCCCAGAGAAAAGCCGUCAGUCACUCCCAUCUCCCCAGUCUCCGGCCGCACUCCGUGCUCUCCCGGCCUGUGACCGCGCGCCUCUGUCUCUGGCACCCGAGCCCGGGUGGAGUCUCCAAACCCAGCAGAUCCCUGCAGUGCGCUCCUGCGCCCCUCCUCCCGGGGGAGGAAGUGUUGAAGUGAGGAUUCCCCUGUGUCCCCACAUGGGAGAUGCAAAUGCCUACCCAGUUGAGGACCACCAGGAGCACGCCUGCCGGGGAUUGCUGGGUCACAAGGUGGGGAAAGUGGUGCGGAGAGGCUGAGCACCUUUGCAGCAUCACCUACUAGUAAGUGGGGCAUCAAGGAGCACAGACUCUUCUCUACCAGAUGGAGCCUUCUGCCCUAACCAACAUCACAGCCACACGCUCCUCCGGCAAAACCCAAGCUGUCCCCCACACCCGAGGACCGAAGCCAUCUGAACCAUCUGAUGCCACGACUGCAUCGGGCUUGGCCCGCUCAGAAGCUCCAGCCUGCAGUUUGCACAACUUCUGUGUGAGCUGGUCCCGCCGCCUGGGGUGCCCUGGCUCCACGGCGGACGGAGCGAGAGGGUGAAACCAGCUCCCAGCUUCGCAGCCACAGAAGCUUUGCUGGGCUAUCCAACCCCUCUGCGCUUCAGUUGGCUCCUCUGCGAGAUCCGGGUAACUACCUGUUUCAGGGGCGGCUGGGAGGAUUGAAGUUCGUGCCCAUCAAAGGCUUAGAACUCUGCCUGGCACAAAGCAUUCCAUUGGGGUGAGCCAUCCUGACCCACCCCCUGCUGUGUUCUUCUAGACUCAGCUUCUCUCUUCUGGGCGACCUUUCCUGCCCCCGGCCACGUUCUUUCUUUCUUCCUGCUCCCCCUGGGCCCCUGCUUGUGAAGCUGCUUUACCUACUGGCCCCUGGCAGCGCAGUCCUAAAACCACAUACAUCCCAGUCACUCGCACGCAUCACCAAUGGUGGCUCUGGGGGCCCAGUCUGCAUCGCAGACAGGCUCCUUGUGUGAUGCUCAGGGACACCCGAGCUUAAGAACCACCGCUCAGGCCAUCCACUCACCAUGGGGCAGGCAGUGGGGUCGGGGUGGGGGGCUGCCCUGGGUCGUGGCCAGAGGACGCCCCCCAGCCAUGCUAGGCACAUGAAAGUGACCCACUUGGGCAUGGCUGACAGUGGAGCUCACCCAUUCCUGGUCCUCGGGCCUUCCCUGAGCCUGGCCUGUGCUGAUCAUACAUUGAUGACCAGGGGCCUGCGCCACCCCCACCCUGCUGCUGGGGGCUGAAAAGCCAUCCAGGCUCUCAGACAAGCUGCAGAGUAAAGAGCUCCACGCUGAAUGUGGCGUCCCUAAAAUAGCCAGCAACCCACAAAACCAUGGUGGAAGGAAAAAGAAAAGCCAACCAAGAGUUAUCAUCAGCCCUUGUUUGGAAUUCGCUUUAGAAAGAAAAGUAUGUGCCAGUCCCACCCUGAUGAGGGAAGGAAGUGGUCAGGCAGAGGGCAACAGUCCUGAAAUGUCUUGGGGGAACCCCUCCUCUGGAGAAGCUACUGAGCACACAGACAGGGAUGCUGGGGCCCAAGGCAGGGAUUGGCUGAGGCAGUCUGGCCCUGGGGCCUGGAGAGGCCAAGCACGCUUCAAGUCAGGGGACAAUCUUCCCUGGCAGAGCAAGCUGGGUCAGGCCAGGUGGAGGGAUGCUGGUGCUCCAACUUAGGGGAGUGGGCUCUGCAGGCCCUCCUUCCAGCACCUACCCAGUCAGCCCCAGGACAGCUGCUCUGGAGGUGGGAGCCUGAGGGCUCCACUGGACCAGAGCCUCUGCUGCAGCAGAAAGCCGCCUUGGACUCGCUGGCCCCAUCCGCCCUUGCUGGCUGUUCACAGGCUGGGAUGAACAAAGCCAGGAGACCUGAAACUCAUCCAUCAGAGUCCCUGGGUUUAUGAUAACCCAUCUCUCUCAGCCAGAAAUUCUUUUGCUAAGAACACCUCAGCUCCUAAAUGCUUACACUCACCCCUUCAGCUCCCCACCCCCCCCAAACUCUCCAGCCCUGCCUGGCCUGAUGCCGAUCGGCCAGUGUGCCUUGGGGUUGGCUCGGCUCCCCCCCGGCCCCGCCCAGCCAAAAAAACAACUCAUCAGUGAGUGGAGGUCCAAGUGCCCCUGGGCAAGGCUGGCCCGGGGCCUAAAUGCAUCUGUCCACACAAAUACCCACUGCUGCUAAUGAGGCUGGUCCGGGGAGGCAGCGCCCUCCUCUCGUCCACAGCUCCAGACCAUCUGGAGGAGCCAAAGGCAGGCGUGGGUUGGCCGCCAGAGCCACAACUUUUAUCUCUUUAAGGGAGACUCCAUGGGGGAGGGAAACAAGACAAGCAGAGAAGGCAUGCAGACAGCUCAGCUAACAGUAUGGAAAAGAAGAGUCUCCCUUUAAAGAUGCAUUUAUCCUUCUCAUGGGAGUUGGCGGACUGUGGGCCCGUGGGCCAAACCCAGACCACCUCUUGUUUUUAUAUCUAAAGUUUUAUUACAACACAGGUGCACUCAUUCAGGUAGCAUCUGUGACUGCUUUCACACCGCAACAGAAGAGUUGCCACACAGAGUAACCCUAUUUGGCCCCUCACAGGGAAAGUUCGCCGACGCCAGCUUCUGGGUUUUUUUGGCGUUCAGAAUUCCAGGCAAGGACCGGGAGCCUGCACCUGUGAAGAGCUAAAAAGGACAAAAGCUGGGUUCCCAGCUUCAUUCCCCGCUCUUGGCUGGAGAUCCCUACCCCUGCAGACUGCCCCCGUGGCCACCGGGCACAAAGCGAGCACACACGAGGCGUGCCGAGAACACGGACUGAAUGAACUAUCAAUCACCAGAACUUCUUUCCUCAAAGAACAGCCACUAACAUUUCUGCUGACAAAUGUCAAAAAGGAGUAUUUAAACCCUGCCUUCAUCGACCUGCUCUACUGUCAGGAGCAGAGAGAAGCUGACACAGAUGAAUAAUUUUCCAACUGCAUUUACCUGAGAUAAGGAAAAUGAAACUCUUGUCUGGACACUGUUGCUGCCUUCUGGGCAGGUACACGAGGUGUUUUGCGGGGAGCAGGUGAGGGGGUGGUAGCCAAAACUGAAAACACAUGAUUUUUUUUUUUUCCUCUGUGGCUAAAGUUCCAUUUGGAAAUCGACAAUAAUUUAUUUCAUCACAAGUUCCCAACAGCUAAUUAGAAAAAUGUACUAAUUAAGUAAUAAUCUGGUUUCAGACGUUUUAAUUAUAUUCCUUUGGAAAAGCAAAAAAAAAAAAAAAAAAAAAUCCACCCCACUACAUAUUUUUAUGUAUAUAUAAUUUAA
This is a long non-coding RNA of Mirounga angustirostris (Northern elephant seal), 3718 nucleotides long. RefSeq lists it as uncharacterized. NCBI's taxonomy places the organism in Eukaryota, Metazoa, Chordata, Mammalia, Carnivora, Phocidae. The record is from RefSeq and is a predicted model, not a curated record. The transcript is spliced from 5 exons.